GGUUAGGGAAGCGAACUCAGGGAACUGAAACAUCUUAGUACCUGAAGGAAAGGACAUCAACCGAGACUCCGUUAGUAGUGGCGAGCGAACGCGGACCAGGCCAGUGGCUGGUUAAGAAAAAUUAGAAUGCAAUGGAAAGUGCAACCGUAGUGGGUGAUAGUCCCGUAUAAGUAACUUCUUUUCCAGUCCUCGAGUAGGGCGGAACACGUGAAAUUCUGUCUGAACAUGGGGGGACCACCCUCCAAGCCUAAGUACCCCUAUUCGACCGAUAGUGAACAAGUACCGUGAGGGAAAGGUGAAAAGCACCCCGAUAAGGGGAGUGAAAGAGAUCCUGAAACCGUAUGCUUACAAUCAGUGGGAGCACCUUUAUGGUGUGACCGCGUACCUUUUGUAUAAUGGGCCAACGACUUAAUUUAUCAUGCGAGCUUAAGCCGAUAGGUGUAGGCGAAGCGAAAGCGAGUCUUAAUAGGGCGAUUUAGUAUGAUGCAUUAGACCCGAAACCGAGUGAUCUAGUUAUGGGCAGGUUGAAGGUGCGGUAACAUGCACUGGAGGACCGAACCCACUUAUGUUGAAAAAUGAGGGGAUGACCUGUGACUAGGGGUGAAAGGCCAAUCAAACUCGGAGAUAGCUGGUUCUCCGCGAAAUCUAUUUAGGUAGAGCGUCGGAUUUAUACCAACGGGGGUAGAGCACUGGAUGGAUGCGGGGGACGCGAGUCUUACCAAUUCUAACCAA
This 732-nucleotide ribosomal RNA is filed under the name uncultured bacterium. RNAcentral describes it as "bacterial LSU rRNA". It matches the Rfam family "Bacterial large subunit ribosomal RNA", at positions 169 to 952 of the family's 2925-position model. The record is from RNAcentral.